RNAcentral lists this ribosomal RNA (458 nucleotides) under Physocyclus mexicanus. Its description in RNAcentral is "partial 18S ribosomal RNA". It matches the Rfam family "Eukaryotic small subunit ribosomal RNA", at positions 1199 to 1674 of the family's 1831-position model. Lineage: Eukaryota; Metazoa; Arthropoda; Arachnida; Araneae; Pholcidae. The record is from RNAcentral.
GGGGAAUCGGGUCAAUAUUCCCGGCCCGGACGCUGGAAGGAUUGACAGAUCAAGAGCUCUUUCUUGAUUCAGCGGGUGGUGGUGCAUGGCCGUUCUUAGUUGGUGGAGCGAUUUGUCUGGUUAAUUCCGAUAACGAACGAGACUCUAGCCUACUAAACAGGCGCGACAUUCCGAUCCCUCGAGUCGGACGCCCUUCUUAGAGGGACAAGCGGCGCUUAGCCGCACGAGACAGAGCAAUAACAGGUCUGUAAUGCCCUUAGAUGUCCGGGGCCGCACGCGCGCUACACUGAAGGAAUCAGCGUGUGCUCUCCCUGCCUGGCAAGGCUGGGUAACCCGCCGAACCUCCUUCGUGAUAGGGAUAGGGGCUUGUAACUGUUCCCCUCGAACGAGGAAUACCCAGUAAGCGCGAGUCAUAAGCUACGUGUUGAUUACGUCCCUGCCCUUUGUACACACCGCCC